RNAcentral lists this ribosomal RNA (249 nucleotides) under Salmonella enterica. Its description in RNAcentral is "partial 16S ribosomal RNA". It matches the Rfam family "Bacterial small subunit ribosomal RNA", at positions 1 to 246 of the family's 1533-position model. RNAcentral also lists the same sequence under 4 other names. The record is from RNAcentral. Lineage: Bacteria; Pseudomonadati; Pseudomonadota; Gammaproteobacteria; Enterobacterales; Enterobacteriaceae.
AAAUUGAAGAGUUUGAUCAUGGCUCAGAUUGAACGCUGGCGGCAGGCCUAACACAUGCAAGUCGAACGGUAACAGGAAGCAGCUUGCUGCUUCGCUGACGAGUGGCGGACGGGUGAGUAAUGUCUGGGAAACUGCCUGAUGGAGGGGGGUAACUACUGGAAACGGUGGCUAAUACCGCAUAACGUCGCAAGACCAAAGAGGGGGACCUUCGGGCCUCUUGCCAUCAGAUGUGCCCAGAUGGGAUUAGCU